GUUGGUGAACCAGCGGAGGGAUCAUUA
Molecule: non-coding RNA, 27 nt
Filed under: Ophiostoma ips
Lineage: Eukaryota; Fungi; Ascomycota; Sordariomycetes; Ophiostomatales; Ophiostomataceae
Also listed under: 19 other names
Source: RNAcentral